GAUGAACGCUGGCGGCGUGCCUAAUACAUGCAAGUCGAGCGAACAGACGAGGAGCUUGCUCCUUUGACGUUAGCGGCGGACGGGUGAGUAACACGUGGAUAACCUACCUAUAAGACUGGGAUAACUUCGGGAAACCGGAGCUAAUACCGGAUAACAUGUUGAACCGCAUGGUUCAACAGUGAAAGACGGUCUUGCUGUCACUUAUAGAUGGAUCCGCGCCGCAUUAGCUAGUUGGUAAGGUAACGGCUUACCAAGGCAACGAUGCGUAGCCAACCUGAGAGGGUGAUCGGCCACACUGGAACUGAGACACGGUCCAGACUCCUACGGGAGGCAGCAGUAGGGAAUCUUCCGCAAUGGGCGAAAGCCUGACGGAGCAACGCCGCGUGAGUGAAGAAGGUCUUCGGAUCGUAAAACUCUGUUAUUAGGGAAGAACAAAUGUGUAAGUAACUAUGCACGUCUUGACGGUACCUAAUCAGAAAGCCACGGCUAACUACGUG
This 497-nucleotide ribosomal RNA is filed under the name uncultured bacterium. RNAcentral's name for it is "partial 16S ribosomal RNA". It matches the Rfam family "Bacterial small subunit ribosomal RNA", at positions 28 to 507 of the family's 1533-position model. The record is from RNAcentral.